Molecule: ribosomal RNA, 429 nt
Filed under: Bacteroidota bacterium
Lineage: Bacteria; Pseudomonadati; Bacteroidota
Description: Bacteroidetes bacterium partial 16S ribosomal RNA
Rfam family: Bacterial small subunit ribosomal RNA
Source: RNAcentral
UAGGGAAUCUUCGGCAAUGGGGGGAACCCUGACCGAGCAACGCCGAGUGAGUGAAGAAGGUUUUCGGAUCGUAAAGCUCUGUUGUUAAGGAAGAACGAGUGUGAGAAUGGAAAGUUCAUACUGUGACGGUACUUAACCAGAAAGGGACGGCUAACUACGUGCCAGCAGUCGCGGUAAUACGUAGGUCCCGAGCGUUGUCCGGAUUUAUUGGGCGUAAAGCGAGCGCAGGCGGUUAGAUAAGUCUGAAGUUAAAGGCAGUGGCUCAACCAUUGUAGGCUUUGGAAACUGUUUAACUUGAGUGCAGAAGGGGAGAGUGGAAUUCCAUGUGUAGCGGUGAAAUGCGUAGAUAUAUGGAGGAACACCGGUGGCGAAAGCAGCUCUCUGGUCUGUAACUGACGCUGAGGCUCGAAAGCGUGGGGAGCGAACAGG